GAGUGCACAAUGUCAUCAGCGUAAUGAGGAGUAAACAUUUAUGCUAAUAAUCUACAAUUUUUUCCCCCCUCGUCGCCUAUAAAAAGGGGAAAUAAAGCAGAGAUUUUCAGUCAUUUUCUGAACUCUGCAGCUAUAGCAUUGGACCGACACAUGGAAGGCAUUUUGUGGGGAUUUAGAGCGCUGAUGUGGAGCCUGUGCUGCGGGGAAGCUUUUCGCUCAUCUGCAUCCAGGCUGAUUCCUGAAGCUCCAGGGAAGGGAGUUCAAGAUUCAAACCGAAAGCGUUCAGAGGCGCUCUCCUCUCCAGAAGGCAAGGGGGUCGCGGUGUGGAAAAAGCCCCCGGUGAACUGGUGGAAAUGCUGUCCCCAUUACAGCAGCAGCAGGGGUCAGGCCAUGGCAGCAAGCAUCCAAGCUGCCCAAAAUUGGCUGCAAAAUGACCAAUUACCUGAGUGAAGGCUGAGGAGAAAGGACUUGGAAAAAUAUGGCUUUUACUUAAUUCAGCUAAACUGUAAAAGAAACUAGUGUCACGGCGAUGCCUCAUACUUGCUGCAUGUCGCAGCAUCCCACCUGUUAGGAGGGAAGAUCUGCGCCUCAGGCAGGAAAUGCAUUUAUAGAUAAGUGAGAAGCGGGGAUAACGUUUGGCGGAGUGACGUAACUGCUGGAAUAAUGUUGGAAUUAUUACACCAAAACAAUGAUUGAUUAAACAUCUUUACAUGUAGGUCUUAUUGAAUUAAUUCCCCAGCAAAUGGAAAACAUGCAAAUUCGGCAAUUAAGUCAUUUGCCCAUGGAGAGAGCGGCUGCUUGACGUUCAGCUGCCACUGCGCCUUUAGUCUGAAACCCUUUUUAGUUUUUUUUUUUUUUUUUUUCCUGUUAAGAGUUAAGUCUCCAACAAAGACAGGAAGGAGGUCAGCACUCAGCCAACACCUGAAUGCAGCUCUCUUUUUUGUGCUCCCCUUGAUCCCCACAGUCUGUGCCUGUCAUUAGUCUUAAUGAUGGAAAAUUGUCAUGUUGAUACAAGUCUUGCUCUCCCCCUCUCUUCUUUGUAUAAGUAGAAGGUGGAAGCUCCAUUUGUAACAAAGUUCUUUGUGACUAAAAGCCGUGGACAUUGCAUUUGUGCCGCGGGAGAAAAAAGGGGGCUGUAGAUGCUCUUUCCAUAGCUGGGAUAAUUAUUCCUACUGUGACCUUAAUGAUUCGCUCUGUUCAUCCUGCAUCUCAUCCACGCGCCAGGCCCUCAGCGGAGCCCCGUGUCAGGGAAUAUGAAAAACCCAUAUAAUGAAACCAUUUUGGGCUGAUGGAAAAAAGGGGGCUACUGGAGCCGCACUUGCUACAAAGACGGCUCAAUUAUAUGAGUAAUUGUGAUAAUUUUCCCUCCAUUCACUGCGUUCCCUGAAAGGUAAAAAACACAGAUGCUGAAAGGGAAAUUACUUGGACAAUAUAUAAUCUGUGAAAUGGUCACAACAGAAAAAAAAGAUGACUGUAAGAAAGUGAAGGACUAUAAAUAGGUAUGUUAAUGCAGGGCCACAUAAAUACACCCUCAGAAGCUCGCAGACAUAAACAAACAGCACGCCACUGAGCUAGUCCACAAGAAGAGAGAGAAGGGAUGGAGGAGAGGGGUGAGGGGAGGGGAAGCAACAAAUGACCACAAAAAAAGAAGAAGGUAGAUGUGCAGCUGCCAAAAAAAUUAAACCUCCUUCUUCUUCUUCCUAUUGACGAAUUUCAGCUCCUGAAAAUGCACCCCCAUAGUUGGCUAUCAUUUGUUGUUCUCUGACAGGAAAAGGAUAAUUAUCUCUCUCAGAGGCAGCGAGACUGACAUGCCCUUUAGACUUUGCCAUGAAUGCAGAGGCUUGAUGGAAAGCUUGAGGAAUAAUUUUGUUCUUGUGCUUUUCCUUCAUCUUCAAGAGCAUGUUUUAUUCCAAAGAACAUGGAGAUGACAGGACUGUGGAGUGCAUUAAACCAUUUGGAUUCUUUCCGUAAAUAAGGCAUCGCUCCAUCUGUCAACGUCUACAUUUUUUUUGGGGCGGAAAACAAAUAAAAGAACUUGAAAAUACUUUAAAAUGUCAAUUCUGUUCCAGCGUAAGGGAUAUGGGACAGAGAGAUGCAUAUGUUUCUUUUAAAUGCAAGUUAAACAUUGUUGUUGUUUUUUGUUAACAAAAAAGUAGAAGAGAGGUGCAUAGUGCACUUAAAUGCAUUUUGCUGGGACUUUAAGUGACAAAACCACACAAAGAAUAACUGUGAAGUGAAAGAAAAAUGAUGCAUGGUUUUUAAUUUUUUUGAUGAGAAUACUUCGUACCUGCGACAAUUGUUUGUCUUCUGCUCCCUGUGACUCGCAGAGCACCGAAUGAAACCCACUACGCCCAAUUGCCAUAAGAAGUCCACCUUAGAAGCAGAAAAUUUGAGAAAUUUAAAGCAGAAUUAGCUUAAAGGCCCACAGUAAACAUGGAGGACCUACAGAAAACACAGGAGACUGUUUUGCUCAGAUACAUAUAAACUGUGCACUCCACAAAUCAGUUUUGUUAUUGCAGACUGGUGAGAAGAAAAGCUUGAUGGAAAGAAAGACAUCUAGGCUCAUUUAAGGAGACGCUCUGCCCAGUUGAAACCAAAUUGAAACGUGUAUGUGAGGGAAAACUGUCGAUGCAAAUCAACUUGAGCUCAACAUGGUGAUGGAAGCAUCGUGGUGUGGGGACGCUUUUCUCGUGCAGAAAUGAGAAAUCUUCAGUGGAUGGAGCUAAAUGCAGGAUGAUCUAUGAAGAAAACCCAUGUUAGGAGGAACUUGGUCACAUGAGAAUGGCCAUUUCUCUCCACUUCAGAGUGAUGUGCUGCAUUGUGUGGGUCCAUCACAACCAUGAACAUAAACAGAAACUCACUGGUUUUAAUGUGAUGAUAUGUGGAAAAACUUCAAGAGAUCCAGUAGCCAUCAUAAUUCAGCAGCGAUUACAUCCUUCUGUUUUGAAGAUUUCCAGAUUUGGGAGACAAAACAUGAACACAAGAAGAACCUGCUGCAUCUUUUUUUUUUCUCACGUUUACCCCGCCUCUCCAACCCACCAGUUUUCCUUCCUCACACAUGUGACGCCGCUGGCCCCUCACACACGUCCGCCUGGAGCAAAUCGUCCCAGUCAAGCUGAGCUACAUUGCAGCCUUUCAGAUCAAAACACUCGUAUCACACCGAAAUGACAAGCCGACGUCACGAACCGUGUCAUCGGUUUCACCCUCCCACCCCAAUAACUUCCGUCCCAUUGAGCCGCCUUCUGUGUUACGGCGCCAAGACAGCGCGAGACCCCCCGGUCCUGCUUGAUUGUGGCUCUUGUGACACGGAGGAGCAGCUCGGUCCCACCAACAGCCUGAACUCUGCGUCGCACACAAACAGACGUGCACGCACACAAAGCCCCUCUAAAACCUCCAAUCUGAAAUCAGCGCACCCCACUGUGAACUUCCUGACAGCCUCCUGAAAUGUUUUCAACUUGUCAGAUCCCCACAGUCGUACUCCGGGGUGCAGAGAACACAGCAAAACAAUAAUCAUGUGAUCAGAAAUGGAGGCCAUGUAAAGGCUGUUUGGGCUGCAUCUAUCAGCCCCUUUCAGCUGCUGCUCUCUCUUAGUUGUUCACACAGAAACCCAGGGAGUAAUAUCUAAACUGUUUGGCCACCUUGUCACAGAAGCAAACAUGCUCUGAGGUGUUUGUCAAUUGCAGCAGCAGCAGCAGCAGCAGCCGCUGAGACUUUUGAGCACAAACAAGUUUUUGCAAACAGGUUUAUUUAUACUGACAGCAGCGAGCUGGAAAAUUAUUAGGAGGAUGAAAAGAAGAUGAAGGAAGUUAUUUUCUUCUUCUUUUUUUUCCCCUGAGGCGAUGACAAGAGAGAGCUCAACUCUCUGUUUUCCCAACACUGACAGAAAUGUAUUCUGUUUUCAGCAUAAAGGCCAAACAGAACCUCUGCUUUUAAAGGUCAGCGUUAAAUCAGAGGUGGAGGUUUUUCAUCAGCUGACCAUGAGGUCCCUUUUCACAUUUCAGCCUUUAAGCAGAACAUUGUUGUGAACCUCUAUGGGCUCAUGAGGACUGGGUUCAAACGAGGUGAAGAUGUGACAACAAGCUUCAAACCAUCUCAGUUCACGGUUCAUUUAAUCCUAACACUGAAUUUAAUAUUUAUUUUUUUUACACUUCUGCCAAAUCGGGAUUUAUCCAGGCAAUACUGGAUUCAUUUUUCCAGACCGUAAAAGCAACACAAUUAAGCCGAGAACAGUUCAAGCUGCAACUGGGAUUGUAUUUGCUGAGUUAUUGUAUUUUGUAACAGUGUAACAUGCAAUAAAAUAAAAUUUAAUUCACCAUGAAACAUGAAUUAACCUUUAAAAUGGGAUUAAAAAUAAAAUCCCCCAGCCCCUCAGUCAGCCAAAACAAAAAUUCAGUUUUCCAAUUUACCAUCAUUAAAAGUACAAUUUUGUACCCUUGUCUGCCAGCAAUAAAAUUUACGACUUUGAAAUAAAUAUAGGAUUACAGUAGAGCGCAAUUCUGCACCUCAUGUAAUCCUUUUCAUUCAAAUGUUGUGUGCAAAUAUUCAGUACUCAGAUUAAAACUCUGUUUUUCUGUAUUAUGUGAUCCAGAGCACAUGUGUCUAACUCAAGAGCCGGGGGCCAAAUCUGGCCCACCAUAGCUUUUUAUGUGGCACUUUAGACUCCAAAUUAUACCAAUUAGUCCCUCCAGUUUUUCACAAAUCUCCAAAAUUCAUGGAAAAUCCAUACAAAAUCAACCGAUCCCCACAUUCUUUUUCUGAUUUUUACUGAAAAUGUUUCUUAAAAUUGUCCGAAAAGUUUAAGUGACUGCUGCCUCAGCCUUACUUGAUGUCAAACUGUAGUCCGUGACCGAUAUGGCGAGUAAUAAAAGUCACAUUUUGUAUCAUACAUUAGCAAAAGUAUCAAAGAAAUUCCUUACAAACAUUUCUAAAUUAGCAUAACAAAAUCUGUGAUUUUGACUGCAAAACAAAAAAAAAAACAACAACAAAAAAACAAAACAAAAAACCCCACAAACAUUCACAAAAUCCUGAAUGGACUAACUACUGUGAAAAGACGUUCAAUAUCAUUUAAUUUUAUGAAGUGCUUAUGGAAUACUGACACAAACAGCCAUUUAUUGAUAUCUUAACAAUUUAACAUUUUAAAAGCAUGUUAUAUGCUUUUUAAAAGUGUGACCUGCAGCUCCUCUUCCAGCUUCAUGUUUUUAUGUUGAGGUACAGAGUCACUGAAUAAAUCAGAUUCUGUCCCUGCAAACAAACAAAUCUGCAUAAUUCCUUGCUUAAAGUAGGGAAGUAUAAUUAAACUAAGCAAAUCGACCAAUACAUAUGCAGAAAAGGACUUUGACACCAAAAGGAAUGAAAAACCCAGCUGGCCACCUUGUACCUCGUAAGUGGUCUGAAACCCCUUUACUUUUAUUCAAAAAUUGCUUAAGACUUCAAAAUAAGAAAAAGGAUUAGAUUUAAAAAAAAAA
Poecilia latipinna (sailfin molly) is the source of this 5465-nucleotide long non-coding RNA. RefSeq lists it as uncharacterized. The transcript has 2 exons. The record is from RefSeq and is a predicted model, not a curated record. NCBI's taxonomy places the organism in Eukaryota, Metazoa, Chordata, Actinopteri, Cyprinodontiformes, Poeciliidae.